UGGUAUCCAUGGUCGCCUGUGUUAACAAGCAAAAAACAAACUGUUACAUGAUGGCACAACAUGUUUUUAGACGAGGAAAACAAUUCGUAGCAAUUUCUUCAACAAUUUUUUCAGGCUCAACUUGAUCAGUCAAAGUUGAAUGUUGAGGACGAGAAUAUGCUUCUUGAGGUUCUUGAAUGCAAUUGAAAUUUGGUUGAAUAGGUGAAGUCGCAGAUGGUAAAUAAACAUAAAUGCGGCCUUCAUUUACUUCACUGUUGUAUUUUAUAGAUUGCUGCUCAAGCAUUCGCACAAUUGCAGGUCGUAGUUUUUCCACAUGAUUAGCACUGUGAUUACCGCGCCCAACUAUACUAAAAAAGAGUUAAUUUUAAUUAAGCGUAAAACAUACAUAUGUAAAUGAUUGUCACCACGUCGGAUGCAAUUCUCAAUUCGCUGUUGUACUGCUUGUACAGCUUCAUCGAUGUACAGACCAUGUAAAUCAAUUUCAUCGGGAUUGCAUUGAGAGUUUUUAUAUAAAUAAAUGG
Schizosaccharomyces pombe (fission yeast) is the source of this 521-nucleotide non-coding RNA. The record is from the annotation of a GenBank genome assembly. Lineage: Eukaryota; Fungi; Ascomycota; Schizosaccharomycetes; Schizosaccharomycetales; Schizosaccharomycetaceae.